UGGCUCAGAUGGUAAAGCAUCUGCCUACAAUGCGGAAGACCAGGGUUCAAUCCCUG
RNAcentral lists this transfer RNA (56 nucleotides) under Bos grunniens (domestic yak). It matches the Rfam family "tRNA", at positions 8 to 63 of the family's 71-position model. From Rfam's summary of the family: Transfer RNA (tRNA) molecules are approximately 80 nucleotides in length. RNAcentral also lists the same sequence under 2 other names. Lineage: Eukaryota; Metazoa; Chordata; Mammalia; Artiodactyla; Bovidae. The record is from Rfam by way of RNAcentral.